This 400-nucleotide ribosomal RNA is filed under the name uncultured bacterium. RNAcentral describes it as "bacterial SSU rRNA". It matches the Rfam family "Bacterial small subunit ribosomal RNA", at positions 356 to 773 of the family's 1533-position model. The record is from RNAcentral.
GGGGAAUAUUGCACAAUGGGCGAAAGCCUGAUGCAGCAACGCCGCGUGAGUGAUGACGGUCUUCGGAUUGUAAAGCUCUGUCUUUUGGGACGAUAAUGACGGUACCAAAGGAGGAAGCCACGGCUAACUACGUGCCAGCAGCCGCGGUAAUACGUAGGUGGCAAGCGUUGUCCGGAUUUACUGGGCGUAAAGAAUGUGUAGGCGGAUACUUAAGUGAGAUGUGAAAGCCCCGGGCUCAACCUGGGGACUGCAUUUCAAACUGGGUAUCUAGAGUGCAGGAGAGGAAAGCGGAAUUCCUAGUGUAGCGGUGAAAUGCGUAGAGAUUAGGAAGAACAGCAGUGGCGAAGGCGGCUUUCUGGACUGUAACUGGCACUGAGGCUCGAAAGCGUGGGGAGCAAAC